ACAUUGAAAAAGAAGGGGCAGGUGCAGCAAGUCUGGCUGAUAGGGGACUAGUUGGUGGGGGAUUUUCACACUGAGUUGUGAGGGCCUCUCUGGCAAGAGCAGUGAACUCAUGGUUAAGCCUUUGCAAUCCUGUGAAGCUCAAGGAUGUUAAGGCAGCACUUGAAAGCUUAGGCCUUGCAAUUCUCUCUACCUGGAAAGUAAGAAGACAGAGACCAAGUCUUACUUCUCUUUGUAUGAACAGUUUCCGGCCAUGAACUCAGUGACCGUCCUCGGCCUGUUUCAGAGCCCAGAGCACCCAAUCGGAUGUUAAAGAGUUUCAAAUCUAGUGAAGAAGGUUGAUGUUCACACAACUACCUCUAGAAGAAUGCAGAGUGUGGUUUCAACGUUAGUAAAUGGAGCCUGCUUGAUAGAGAAAGGAAGAGCAUUCCAGAGGAAGAGUGACUAGAACACCCUCUGGCAUAGUAGAUGCACAAGAAAUAUUGUGGAAUGACUUGUGACCUCCACGGACAGGACUGGAGAAAGAGAAGAGAAGCGGUAUGAGAAAACCAGACAGGAUGGAAAGCUAAACAUAGUGAGGACCAUGUUGACAUUGCCCUUACUACAGGACAAGGUAAUGCUAGUGACUCUUAAUGCCUAAGUCACGCUGUACAUUAUUAGCUUCUAGUCACACACAAGGCUACAGAGAAUGUGCAAUGUGGCUAGUGGAAAUUAAGAUGUUCAGUAAGCAUCAAAUACACACUAAGUUUCAAAACUUAGCAGAAAGAAAACAAGAAUGUAAAAUAUCAAAUUAAUAAUUUCAGUGUGGGGCGC
Long non-coding RNA from Panthera uncia (snow leopard), 810 nucleotides. RefSeq lists it as uncharacterized. The transcript has 4 exons. The record is from RefSeq and is a predicted model, not a curated record. Lineage: Eukaryota; Metazoa; Chordata; Mammalia; Carnivora; Felidae.